AUUGAACGCUGGCGGCAUGCCUUACACAUGCAAGUCGAACGGCAGCACGGGAGCAAUCCUGGUGGCGAGUGGCGAACGGGUGAGUAAAGUAUCGGAACGUGCCCAGUCGUGGGGGAUAACGUAGCGAAAGUUACGCUAAUGCCGCAUACGAUCUAUGAAUGAAAGCGGGGGAUCGCAAGACCUCGCGCGAUUGGAGCGGCCGAUAUCAGAUUAGGUAGGUGGUGGGGUAAAGGCUCACCAAGCCGACGAUCUGUAGCUGGUCUGAGAGGACGACCAGCCACACUGGGACUGAGACACGGCCCAGACUCCUACGGGAGGCAGCAGUGGGGAAUUUUGGACAAUGGGCGCAAGCCUGAUCCAGCCAUGCCGCGUGCAGGAUGAAGGCCUUCGGGUUGUAAACUGCUUUUGUACGGAACGAAAAGGUUUGACUUAAUACGUUGGACUCAUGACGGUACCGUAAGAAUAAGCACCGGCUAACUACGUGCCAGCCGCCGCGGUAA
RNAcentral lists this ribosomal RNA (500 nucleotides) under uncultured bacterium. RNAcentral describes it as "partial 16S ribosomal RNA". It matches the Rfam family "Bacterial small subunit ribosomal RNA", at positions 30 to 523 of the family's 1533-position model. The record is from RNAcentral.